GGAGUCAGCCUGCCCAGUGACCAAGUUAAACGGCCGCGGUACCCUAACCGUGCGAAGGUAGCGCAAUCACUUGUUCUUUAAAUGAGGACUAGUAUGAAUGGCAUCACGAGGGUUACACUGUCUCCCACCUCUAAUCAGUGAAACUGAUCUCCCCGUGAAGAAGCGGGGAUAAAACUAUAAGACGAGAAGACCCCAUGGAGCUUCAAACCCGGCAUCAACCAUUAACAUUAAUACCACAUUAAAUAAAUGGACCUGACUGCUGGUUUUAGGUUGGGGUGACCGCGGAGCAUAACAAAACCUCCAUGAUGAACGACCUCCUCUCUAAUCCGAGAGCCACCACUCAAAGAAUCAAAAAAUUGACAUUUAUUGACCCAAACUAUUUUGAUCAACGAACCAAGUUACCCUGGGGAUAACAGCGCAAUCCAUUUCAAGAGCCCCUAUCGHCAAAUGGGUUUACGACCUCGAUGUUGGAUCAGGGUAUCCUAGUGGUGCAGCCGCUACUAAAGGUUCGUUUGUUCAACGAUUAAAACCCUACGUGAUCUGA
RNAcentral lists this ribosomal RNA (544 nucleotides) under Gastrophryne olivacea (western narrow-mouthed toad). RNAcentral's name for it is "partial 16S ribosomal RNA". It matches the Rfam family "Bacterial large subunit ribosomal RNA", at positions 1849 to 2608 of the family's 2925-position model. Lineage: Eukaryota; Metazoa; Chordata; Amphibia; Anura; Microhylidae. The record is from RNAcentral.